AACCAUUCUCACCUGCGGCUAGACCUGCGGAAGGAUCAUUACUGAGUGUAAAAACUCCCAAACCCAUUGUGAACAUACCACUGUUGCUUCGGCGGAUACGCCCCGGGCGCGCUCUUCACAGGGCGUGCCCCGGAACCAGGCGCCCGCCGGGGGACCGAAACUCUUGUUUUCUUAGGAUCUCUGAGUGUGAUUAUUAAAUAAAUCAAAACUUUUAACAACGGAUCUCAGAUCGGAAGAGCA
Molecule: unclassified non-coding RNA, 240 nt
Filed under: soil metagenome
Description: partial contains 5.8S ribosomal RNA, internal transcribed spacer 2, and large subunit ribosomal RNA
Source: RNAcentral